This 402-nucleotide ribosomal RNA is filed under the name uncultured bacterium. RNAcentral's name for it is "bacterial SSU rRNA". It matches the Rfam family "Bacterial small subunit ribosomal RNA", at positions 355 to 774 of the family's 1533-position model. The record is from RNAcentral.
UCGGGAAUUUUGGGCAAUGGGCGAAAGCCUGACCCAGCAACGCCGCGUGAGGGAUGAGGUAUUUCGGUAUGUAAACCUCGAAAGAAUGGGAAGAAUAAAUGACGGUACCAUUUAUAAGCUCCGGCUAACUACGUGCCAGCAGCCGCGGUAAUACGUAGGGAGCAAGCGUUGUUCGGAUUUACUGGGCGUAAAGGGCGCGUAGGCGGCGCGGUAAGUCACUUGUGAAAUCUCUGAGCUUAACUCAGAACGGCCAAGUGAUACUGCUGUGCUAGAGUGCGGAAGAGGCAACCGGAAUUCUUGGUGUAGCGGUGAAAUGCGUAGAUAUCAAGAGGAACACCUGAGGCGAAGGCGGGUUGCUGGGCCGACACUGACGCUGAUGCGCGAAAGCCAGGGGAGCAAACG